Molecule: ribosomal RNA, 468 nt
Filed under: uncultured bacterium
Lineage: Bacteria
Description: partial 16S ribosomal RNA
Rfam family: Bacterial small subunit ribosomal RNA
Source: RNAcentral
GACGAACGCUGGCGGCGUGCUUAACACAUGCAAGUCGAACGGAAAGGCCCUGCUUUUGUGGGGUGCUCGAGUGGCGAACGGGUGAGUAACACGUGAGUAACCUGCCCUUGACUUUGGGAUAACUUCAGGAAACUGGGGCUAAUACCGGAUAGGAGCUCCUGCUGCAUGGUGGGGGUUGGAACGUCUCGGCGGUUGGGGAUGGACUCGCGGCUUAUCAGCUUGUUGGUGGGGUAGUGGCUUACCAAGGCUUUGACGGGUAGCCGGCCUGGGAGGGUGACCGGCCACAUUGGGACUGAGGUACGGCCCAGACGCCUACGGGAGGCAGCAGUGGGAAGUAUUACACAAUGGGCGGAAGCCUGAUGCAGCAACGCCGCGUGCGGGAUGACGGCCUUCGGGUUAUAAACCGCUUUCGCCUAUGACGAAGCGGGAGUGACGGUAAUGAGUAAAGAAGCACCGGCUAACUACGUG